Long non-coding RNA from Eucalyptus grandis, 1325 nucleotides. RefSeq lists it as uncharacterized. The transcript has 6 exons. Lineage: Eukaryota; Viridiplantae; Streptophyta; Magnoliopsida; Myrtales; Myrtaceae. The record is from RefSeq and is a predicted model, not a curated record.
UUGUGGAAAAGCAGCAAAGGGUUCACUGAUGCAUUGGUUCUGGACCAUGUUUGUUCAGGAGAAACGUGUUCUUAUCAUCAAAUUGGCGAUGUCUUCGUUUGUGAGAAGACUGGAAAUGUUCAUGUCUGUGAUGAGACGUGCAGAGAAACUGUUAUGGAUCCUGCCAAUGAGCUCUUGGUUUGCAAAAUAUCUGGACACUGUUUAAAUAGGUUGCUGUCAGCUGCUGAAAUGGAGACUGAUGCCGAGCAGCAGCAAGGUGGUGUGACAGAUGAAGCUGAACCAUUCAUGGGACCUGGUCGAUUUGCACGAGCUUAUGUCUUGGGAUAUAAUUGUGCCAACGAAAGAGAAUUAGAUGCUGUGUUGAGGUUCUGCUGAGUUUUGGGGAUGGAAUGUAUAUGCCUUGAUCCUCCUCUCAAGCGGAUUCCACUAAGGAAAUGGCAAUGUCCUAAGUGCCGCUCGAAAAGUGAUUCAGUUGAGCCAAUAAGCCAUCUCGAUUCCAGUUUGAAGCGAGCUCGGACGAAAAUUUGUGGGUCAAGAUCCAAGACUUUGUCUAGCACGGAAAAAGUAUCUCGAAUGCUUGGUGGCUCCCAUUUUCCAAGCAAGAGGUCUUUGAGUGGAGGGAAUUCUGUUGUAACACCUGAAGUUCAGCCAUUGGAAGGUAAACCAGAUCUGUCCCAGGAGAGGACCCAUGCACCAUCAAGCCUAAUUGCCCAUCCCUGGGUGGUUCUACGGAUGGAACCUCUUCCUCUCAGAAAAAUGAUGAUGAACAGAAGGUAGAUGUACCUCCAGCAAAAGCACCUUCAACCAGAAGGUUAGCUUCUCCUUCUGUGCCCGCUUCAUCUCAUUCUCAACUGGUGAGUUCAGAACAAUAUGAUGAAGCAUCAAAGAAAAAUUCUCAAUGUUAUGAUGGAUUCAAUAGUCGAGAUGGUCAAGCUGCUCUCGGAACUGGUGCUAGUAAAGAGAGCUAAGAAGAGAAAGCUUGUGCAGAAAAAUGACAUUCAGAAGAAACGCAUGACUCGACGAUGGAAAGCAAAUUAUUGCUACUUCUAAGAGCAGGAAUGAUGAUGGCAAGCAAAUUAUUGCUACUUUUAAGAGACAUGGGUCGAAGAAGAAAGCUGCAUUACCUGAAAUAGGUAAUUCACAAUUAAGAAAGAGAACAAUUGUAAACAAGGGUUCACGGUCUGCCAUGGAAGAAAUGGAGCAAAAGAAGGUUCAAAUGGUCCAAAUAAACAAAAGGUUUCUGGAGAGUUGAAAAGCCCACCAGUAAAGCCAAAGAAAAGAGACCGUCAUGUGAAUAAUACACCAAUGUGCAUAAGCAGUACCGC